GACUGAGUGGUGGUUCCUCGAACUGGAAUGCAGGGAGCUGGUUUUAGCAGUUGAUCAUGUGCAGAUCAGUUAACAGAUGGUCUUUGAAAUGCCACACUGUCACUUAAACCUUAAAUUGCUCUUCCCAAUGUAGUGGUUUAUGAGGAAACCUGCAGUUGCUGAUCCUGAGGAUGAACCACGUAUGGCUCUGAGCAGGGUUUUGGGAACAGGCAGCAGUAGCAUAGGCUCACGGUGAGGACAGCAGCAGGGGAAACUGGAAGCUCUGCUCUUCUCUUAUCAGGCCAGCCCCAGAGUGUCCCUGGCUCUUAUCAGCCCUGGCAGAGCUGGUUUCUGAUGUGUUGAGCCUCUAAAGUCCUGCCAUAGUUGUCUCCUGCUUGCACUUAAAGAGUGGCUGAGAAGCACCUUGUGACAUAUGGGAACAAGGCAGGGCAGUGGUAACAGACCCACGAAAAGAGGCAAUGCUGGAUCUCAUCAUCCUCAGCCUUCAUUUCUUCAUCUGCUUUCUCAUCUUCAUUGCAAUCUGGUGUGGACCAAAGGAUGUGGAAUCACACAGCUCAAGCACAGGAGGAGCUGAAACAGAGCCAGACGGUCUUAUAUACAUUGGCAAAGAAGAGGACAUGAAGAAGUCCCAAAGAAUAACAGCCAAAAUCAAUGGCAGAGAAAUUGUUGUUUUCUACCAUGAGGGGAAAUUUCAUGCUCUGGACUCUCGCUGCUACCACGAAGGAGGCCCUUUAUUUUGUGGAGAAAUAGAGGAUAUCGAUGGACAAGUGUGUAUUGUUUGUCCUUGGCAUAGGUUUAAGAUUACCUUGGAAACUGGAGAAGGAUUGUACGAAGGAAUAAAUCCUCUGGAACCAUCACCAACACCAAAGUGGCAAUCAAAAGGAGUCAAACAAAGGAUUCAUAAGGUCACAACAGACAAUGGAAAUGUUUAUCCCUUUCUAGGUUCCUAGUUAUACUGGUAAGAGUGCAUGAACACAUGGAAAGCACAAGGAGGGAGAUGAGGAGUGGUUACUGUCAAGGCAAUGAUUCUAAGGUGUCAUUUAAGACACAAUGAAGAGAGGAAGGAAUGAGAACAAGCUAUGGGCAAAAGAUCAGCCAGGCGGGGAGCAGAGAAAUACGUGCUAUGAUUUGGCAUGAAAAUUUUUGUGAUGAUUCUGCAAGACAUUCAGGCUCUAUAAUGAGAAAGCAGCUUGAAGACAAUAAAUAAGUUAUGUUUAUGCCAUCAUGGAAACAUAUUUUCAAGAAAGACAGGUGAAAACUAUAUAGCAGUUUGAAGUGCAGCGUGAACCUUAACCUGAUGUACCUUCACUGCAAACCUUGAUUAGACACUAUUGACGGUAAGGCUGGGUGUUGUCCUUUUCCUACAAUUUAUGCCUUGUUUUGCCAUUGCUCCCCUGGCUGCACUCAGUGUUGCAUAUUAAAUUAAGGACCCCUUCAAUGUAAAAUGUGCUAUUAAGUUGGGACUGAGAAAUUCAUUAUGGAGCAUAUUACCUGGAGGAGAGCAGUUUGCAGGAUGGCAUAACACAGGGAUAGAAAAAUGUCUAUUCUGUAGGAAAACAAUCUCAAAACUAGUCUUUCACCAUUGAAGCCCUUUUCAUAGUUUUGUGCAGUUCCUAAUUCUAUACUUAGUACUGGAAUGAAAUCAGUUGUGAAUUUUGCAUCUCUGGUUUCUAAAAUGAUCAGAAGGAUCUUGUGUUGUUUCCUUGCUGGUGGUACAUGGAGUGUGAGAGUCAAUGCUCACUGAUCUCCAUCACUCUGCCCCACUGACUUGGCAGCUGCUUUUCAAGGGGGAAAGCAAGGGAUAGGGAAUGGAAAUAAUACCAGUGGAGAGGUACUUCAGCCCCUGUGUGUGUGGGGAGGUUGCCCUUUGCUGGCAGGGCCGUGAGAGAGCUGCAGCCACAGCAGACCCGACCCGUAGGGUCUGCCCCACCCUGGCUGCACCUGAAAUGUCUGGGGUCCAUGGUUUUCUGCUGGGCCAGCAAAUUCAGCCAGCUACAUCAACAGGUGAGCAAGCACCAUGCUGAGAGAGGCAGGUGGAGUCAGUGAGGCUUAAGGGGGUGUGAUAAAUUGGGUCAGUUCUUCAAACUCUAUUCUACAAACACUUGCUUUUGAUGUGCUAUUUAUUCAUGUAAACCCAUACAUUUCAUAAAGUGAAUUUUCUAGCUGAAUGAAGAAUUGAGUGCAGUUUUCAGCCUCUGCCAUCUAUAAAUUAUUGACGUAAACUAAAAAUGAAAGUGACAGUUCUGCCUGUAGGUAAAAAUAAACCUGGAAAAUCAGUGCAGAUGUCCUUAUUAGCCCAUUUGUGACUCUUCCUCCAUGAGAUGAACACAGGUCCUUGACAAGGGUAGUUGUGAUGCUUGAACAGUGGAAUUGUUCUACUGAGAGAUGUCAGAGAGGUAUAGUUUAUUUUUUGCAAACCAUAGUAGCUAGAAAUCCAAAGCUUAUAAAGGAAAGAUGAUUCCAGAAAUAAUUAUUCUACUUGAAAGUAAAAUAUGUGUUAUCUUGCUAAAAAACAAACAAAAAUUUGUAAUUCAUUUAACUGUUCAAAUUACAAUUAAUUUUUGCUGCAGCUGUGGACCCUGAUAGUGCAGACAUUGCCAGUAAAGGUGAUCCCUCCUUAUUAAGACAGUCACUACAGUGAAAAAAGUGGUAAAGUUUUUGCCCCUACUGAAGUAGGUCUGUUCCACCUGAAGGUUUUCUGAUUUUUUUAAUGUAUAUAUUUGAGUUGUUUAAUGAAAGGUUUCAGCUCUGCACACAUAUGUCCUUCCUUGAUUUCAAUUAACAUCUAAGAUUCACACUCAAGGGAAAACUAUUUUUUAUUACAGUCUGUGCUGAACAUGCCCCUCCCACCCUACCCCCCCACCCCCCCCAAAAAAAUUACAUGUUUAUUUGGCACAGAUUGCUCCAGGAAAAACUUCAUACUUGUGUAGCUUUCUUUUGGCCUAGGAAAGCACAAAAGAGCAGUGAAACUAUGGCCUCCCUUAUACUCAUUAUAAGGCCUUGAAUAUUCCUGGCAUGGUAUCAUGCUGUCAUCUGAAUUUGAAAAGCCAUGAAUGAUCAGGAUCAGCAGCACUUCCCUGGAGGCUGUGUCACCUUCCAGUGCUCAUGGUAUUUUUCAUGAGACUCAUCACUGAAAGAAUACCUGAAGCCAACAAUAAGUUUGGAGGUCCAGGUGUUCACACCAAUUUUCAUUAUCAAUUUUCUUGCACUAAGCAGAAUGGAGGUGUGAUGUUAACUAAAUGGAUAGGCAAGGUCCUGUGCCUGGAUGAGGGCAAUGCCAGACACAAAUACGGGGCAGGGAAUGGGUAGAAAGCAGCCCUGAGGAGGACUUAGGGUGUUGGCAGAUGAGAAGCCCCAGAUGAGCUGGCAAUGAGCUCAGACAACCCAGAAAGACAAAAAUGUCCUGGAGAAGAAAAAGCAGUGUCGGCAGCAGGUUGAGGGAGGUGAUUCUACACCUCCACUUGGGUGAGACCCUACCUGCAGUGCUGCAUCCAGCUCUGGCCCACUACAGAAGGAUGACCUGUUGGAGCAAGUCCAGAGAAGGCUGUGAAGAUGAUCCAAGGCUGGCAUACCUCUGCUGUGAAGAUAGGCUGAGAGAGUUCGGGUUGUUCAGGCUGUAGAAGAGAAGGUUCUGGGAAGAUUUUAGAGUCCCUUCCAUGUGGAGGAGUUUUUGGACCAGUGAGGCCAUGGAAAGCUCGCUUUGCAGUGUUGGGAUAAAUUGGGCUAAUUUAGUACUAGCAAGGGCAUGCUGACCUUGGACUGAGAAUAAGAGAUAAACAGGUGGCAAGAGUGAGAAAGCAAGCCAGGAUGUGCUAAUUGCAAGAGCAAGAAAAUAGAACAUAAACAUAAAAUGCUGUAACCAAUUAGUAGGGUAGUCGCGGCACAUGAACAUUUACUUGUAGCCAAUAAAUAUUAGUAUUAGGCGCAUGAGCGCAUGCAGGUAUGUCAGAACUUUAUAAAAGGCAACAGCUUGUAUACUAAAGUUGACCACUCAUCAUACCUCCAUGAGUGUAACAUGUUUGACUCCGGUCGCUCCUCGCAACAUUUGGCGUCGGAACAGGGACCCAGCAUGGUGGGACGCGGAUUUCGCUAUAGACGUAUAUGUGUUGAUGCGAACUUGCUAAUCUUGCCACGGCGUGUGGUGAGGCAAAGCGGAAAAAGGAGCGAGGGACCAUCCCUAGAGGAGGUACGAAGAAUCGAGUGCUCUCUUCCCGGUCCUGAUUAAACGUAAGCAUGGAAAGUGAAUGUGCUGCCGCGGUGAAGCUACUGCAUAGUAUGCUCGCUAAGCGAGAGGAAUCAGUAGCGGAGAAGACCCUCAGCAAAUUGGUGAAGUGGGCGCGAGAACGCGGGUUUCUCGCUAGCCCGCCGAUUGUGUUUCAAGCAGAGGCUUGGCGUGCUCUCGGUGAUCACAUGUGGGACAUGACGAUCACGAGCAAAGAUAGAGAAAUUAAAGACUUCCGCACCACCUGGCGCACAGUUAUUAACAGCUUAAAUGAUAUGAAAGCGGAGGUGAAGAUAGUUGUUGCCGCUGUUAAAGCUCCUGCCCCACCGGGGGGAGCGGCGAAACCCCCAUUGCCGGUUAAAGGGCACGGACUUUUAAACGACUUUUUGGAACAACAUGGGCAAGCGCCAAUUAAAGAUCUAUCGGCCCCUCAA
Molecule: RNA transcript, 4656 nt
Organism: Cinclus cinclus
Lineage: Eukaryota; Metazoa; Chordata; Aves; Passeriformes; Cinclidae
Gene: RFESD
Gene name: Rieske Fe-S domain containing
Exons: 6
Source: RefSeq, a predicted model, not a curated record